RNAcentral lists this ribosomal RNA (185 nucleotides) under uncultured bacterium. RNAcentral's name for it is "partial 16S ribosomal RNA". It matches the Rfam family "Bacterial small subunit ribosomal RNA", at positions 330 to 509 of the family's 1533-position model. The record is from RNAcentral.
AGCGUCAUCCUACGGGGGCAGCAGUAGGGAAUUUUCGUCAAUGGCGCAAGCCUGAACGAGCGAUGCCGCGUGAGUGAAGAAGGCCUUCGGGUCGUAAAGCUCUGUUGCGGGGGAAAAAAGGCAGCAUCAGGAAAUGGGUGCUGACUGAUGGUGCCCCGCCAGAAAGUCACGGCUAACUACGUGCC